GUAGCUAGCAAAUCCCAUAAACCGUGGCUCAGUUCAGAUCGUAGGCUGCAACUCGCCUACGUGAAGCAGGAAUCGCUAGUAAUCGCAGGUCAGCAUACUGCGGUGAAUACGUUCCCGGGCCUUGUACACACCGCCCGUCACACCAUGGAAGUUGGCCAUGCCCGAAGUCGUUACUCCAACCCUUGUGGAGGAGGACGCCGAAGGUGGGGCUAAUGACUGGGGUGAAGUCGUAACAAGGUAGCCGUACCGGAAGGUGCGGCUGGAUCACCUCCUAA
RNAcentral lists this ribosomal RNA (275 nucleotides) under uncultured Prochlorococcus sp. RNAcentral describes it as "partial 16S ribosomal RNA". It matches the Rfam family "Bacterial small subunit ribosomal RNA", at positions 1260 to 1533 of the family's 1533-position model. Lineage: Bacteria; Bacillati; Cyanobacteriota; Cyanophyceae; Synechococcales; Prochlorococcaceae. The record is from RNAcentral.